RNAcentral lists this long non-coding RNA (1620 nucleotides) under Capsicum annuum. RNAcentral's name for it is "long non-coding RNA (CANN_LNC006475)". Lineage: Eukaryota; Viridiplantae; Streptophyta; Magnoliopsida; Solanales; Solanaceae. The record is from RNAcentral.
AAUUUUAUAACAGAACGGAAUCAUGGUCAUAAGUUUGAUAUAAAUUCAAAACAGAAAAAUGAAAUCCAUAACCAUCUAAUAACAUCUGAAAACCGUCUAUGAAAUCUCUACUACAUGACUGAUAACAACUGUCUGAAAACUGGGACAAGGCCCCAGUAGAUAAAAACCAUAACUGAUAAUAAAUGUCUGAAAAUAAAUAGGCCUUCUGAAAUAUAGAAGGCUCACCGACUGGACUCUGCACUUCUGUCUGAAGAAAUCUACUGCUUAUCAGGAACCCUAGACUAUGCCUCAGAACCUGAAAGGUAGGGGGUCAAUACAGAUGUACUGGUACGCAGAGCAAUCCAAAAUAAAGCUUUUAAUAUAAAUAGAAUAGUUUAGAGAUAGUAAUAAAACAUCAUAUAUGAUAUAUACUCCAAAAUACAUGGGCAUUUUUGAUAAUCAUAAAACCUUUCUGUCAAUGCAAUUUCUGAUCUUUGUAUUACUUCUGAGUUAGGUACUACCCUACAAGUCUGAUAUUCCACGGGCUAUAUGGAAUCCAGCAUUGACUCGGCGGGGAAGCCCCCAACCCAAGUGUGCCUCAAGGGUUGGAGUGUUUGAGUCUGAUACCCACAGGGCUCUAGGCCAGCGUAUAAUAUCCGGAUCUGCAAAUCACGAUUUUUGGGCAAUGAGUUAUCUGAACUCAUGCCAUCUUCGGGGAACCACCUAAGCUCUCUUUAUGCCUAAUUUUAGUCUCUUCUGAAACAUACAUCAUUCUAGUUUCAAAAUCUGAAAAUCUGAUUUCAAACAUGCAUUUAUUCUGUUUUGAAUUAACAUGGCAUUAUCUAAGUUGGUGUCGUCACACCAAGAUUUGCAAGUCCUAUUUUUGAGCCAUAAUACAUCAUGUACGAUUAUUUCAUCAAAACUCAACUCAUACCACCCAAACAUGCAAAUAGUAUAAGAGAUUUCAUGUUCCGAAACAUAAGUCAAAACUAUGCAAGAAUUCUUCAAACAUAUGGUGGUCAUAUGCUUUUGACAAAACCAUGAACUCUUUCAUUAUAUGUAUAUUCAACAGUUAUCAACAUGCACAACCCCCUCUUUGGAUUUCAAAAUCAUAUUCAAGUCAUGGUAUAAAUCAAGACGUUUCAUAUCAUGCUUUUCGAAAUGCGCUCAAAACAAUUCAUAGAAUAUCAUAAGUAAGGGAAGAUCGUAACAAGAGAGGGAUUUCAUUAUAAUUCAUGCUCUCAAUAUUAAACGCAUGCAUACAUAUAUAUAAAAUUUCAAUUCAAAUUGGGGAAGGCCUAAAGACCAAACAAUAUUAAUUAAAGCUUCUAAAACAUGCUAGUAAUGGUAAAUUCAACCCUUUCCGUAAAAUCAUGAUUUCUAAAUCUUUAGCAUGAAUUAAAGAAGGUUUCUUUGCCCAUGAAUUUUUAGAAAAACCCCACGUACCUCAAUUAUGAAAAAUAAUGGGUGAUUCUUGAAGUCUACGAUUUGGAGAUUCCAAAUCUUCAAUCAAUCUUGAAAACUCAUGGUUAAAUCUUGAGUUAUUUGAAAUUCUUGUUUGAAACCCUUAUGAAUGUUCUUGAGUAAUUUGGGUGAAUUGUGGUGGAUUAUGGUGUAUUAGGGAUCAAAUCCAUGUUUAAG